Molecule: ribosomal RNA, 477 nt
Filed under: Candidatus Scalindua wagneri
Lineage: Bacteria; Pseudomonadati; Planctomycetota; Candidatus Brocadiia; Candidatus Brocadiales; Candidatus Scalinduaceae
Description: bacterial SSU rRNA
Rfam family: Bacterial small subunit ribosomal RNA
Source: RNAcentral
UUCGCAAUGCCCGAAAGGGUGACGAUGCGACGCCGCGUGAGCGAAGAAGGCCCUAGGGUUGUAAAGCUCUGUCGAGGGUUAUGAAAUAUAGAUGGGUUAAUACCCCAUUUAUUUGACAAAAGCCCAAAAGGAAGCCACGGCUAACUCUGUGCCAGCAGCCGCGGUAAUACAGAGGUGGCGAGCGUUGUUCGGUAUUGUUGGGCGUAAAGAGCACGUAGGUGGUUUUGUAAGUCAGGUGUGAAAGCCUUCUGUUCAAAGGAAGAACGGCAUCUGAAACUGCAGAUCUUGAGUGUAGGAGGGGAGAGUGGAACUUCUGGUGGAGCGGUGAAAUGCGUAGAUAUCAGAAGGAACGUCGGCGGCGAAAGCGACUCUCUGGCCUAUUACUGACACUGAGUGUGCGAAAGUUAGGGGAGCAAACGGGAUUAGAUACCCCGGUAGUCCUAGCCGUAAACGAUGGGCACUAAGUAGAGGGGUUUU